UAUAGUACUAGAAAGUAACUGCUAGGUCGUCUCUCAAGGACUAAACUGUGGUUCGAGAAUCAGGUCAAACACAAAGUGGGGGGGGGGGUUGUGAAAAUGUUGUGGUGAAUGCGGAUGAACUAAAUCAAAACACGAAUGCAAACAGUAAUGUGAAAACAACAAUGCGAAACGAAAUGUAAAAGGGAAUGCAAAGAAAGAAUCAAAUACUGAAUAAAAACAGUUGGCCAUUAACUCAAUUACUAUGCUUCCUAUCCUAGAUUAACGACAAGUACACACUACUCUAAUCCAAAUCCAACACGAAUCACCCAACUAAGCGAAGGCUAAUUCGG
RNAcentral lists this long non-coding RNA (329 nucleotides) under Vigna radiata. Its description in RNAcentral is "long non-coding RNA (VRAD_LNC016669)". Lineage: Eukaryota; Viridiplantae; Streptophyta; Magnoliopsida; Fabales; Fabaceae. The record is from RNAcentral.